UCUGUCAGAGAAAUUUUAAAAAUUAUUUUCUUUGUAAUUUGGAAAUAUUAUAGUACUUUAAACUAUGUUUGACUCAAUAGUUAAAAAUCAAUCAAGUAUAUAAUAAAGAGAGACGACAGCAAAUUGGAUGAAGCUGAGAUAUAGAUAUAAUAAUAACCUUAUUACCAGAUUUUAUGUUUGAGCAUAAAAGUAUAUUCUUAAAUGAAAAGAAUCAAAAGUCGCAAAAAAUUCCUCUGGGCAACUUGCUUUAAACUGGGGGUGGUUGACAUGUGUUUUGAGAUCUACAGAGGACAUCAGCAAACUGAAUGCCCGAAUAGUUUCAGUAGGAAUGGUAUCAGCUGUUCUUUUACACCUAGUAGAAUUGAUGUGCUGCUGGAUUCGGUUUGCUAGUAUUUUAUUGAGGAUUUUCCCAUCGAUGUACACCAGGGAUAUUGGUCUAACAUUCCCUUUUCUUGUUAUGUCUCUGCCAGGCUUUGGUCAACUUCUUCCUGGUUUAGUCUUGGGAGGAUAUAUGUGUCCAAGAAUUUAUCCAUUUCUUCUAGAUUUUCAAGUUUAUUUGUGUAGAGGUUUUUAUAUAGUGCUUCCUUCAGGAGCUCUUGUAAGGCAGGCCUGGUGGUGACAAAAUCUCUCAGCAUUUGCUUGUCUGUAAAGGAUUUUAUUUCUCCUUCACUUAUGAAGCUUAGUUUGGCUGGAUAUGAAAUUCUCGGUAUCUUUGUUCUCAUUAGUUUCAAAGAACCUCUUGACUUCUGCCUUAAUUUCAUUAUUUCAUUAUUACCCAAAAGUCAUUCAGGUGUAGGUUAUUCAAUUUCCAUCUAAUUGUAUGGUUUUGGGUGAUUUUCUUAGUCUUGGUCUCUAAUUUUAAUGCACUGUGGUCCAAGAGAGUGGUUGUUAUAAUUUCAGUUCUUUUGAAUUUGCUGAGAAGUGUUUUGUCUCAGAUUAUGUGGUUGACUUUAGAGAAUGUGCCAUGUGGCAAUGAGAAGAAUGUAUAUUCUGCGGUUUUGGGUGAAGAGUUCUGUAGAUGUCUAUCAGGUCUAUUUGAAUAAUCAACAUUUGGAUAACUACAGAGUCCAACACAUCAGAAAUCUUGUUCGUUGAUUUGAUGAUCAACUCAACAAAACAUGUAGAUAUAUUGCCUUAGAAUUUCCAGGGGUGGCUGUU
RNAcentral lists this long non-coding RNA (1158 nucleotides) under Pan troglodytes (chimpanzee). RNAcentral's name for it is "long non-coding RNA NONPTRT009163". Lineage: Eukaryota; Metazoa; Chordata; Mammalia; Primates; Hominidae. The record is from RNAcentral.